This 732-nucleotide ribosomal RNA is filed under the name Salmonella enterica subsp. enterica serovar Potsdam. RNAcentral's name for it is "partial 23S ribosomal RNA". It matches the Rfam family "Bacterial large subunit ribosomal RNA", at positions 2202 to 2925 of the family's 2925-position model. The record is from RNAcentral. Lineage: Bacteria; Pseudomonadati; Pseudomonadota; Gammaproteobacteria; Enterobacterales; Enterobacteriaceae. RNAcentral also lists the same sequence under 10 other names.
ACCCUUUAAUGUUUGAUGUUCUAACGUGGACCCGUAAUCCGGGUUGCGGACAGUGUCUGGUGGGUAGUUUGACUGGGGCGGUCUCCUCCUAAAGAGUAACGGAGGAGCACGAAGGUUGGCUAAUCCUGGUCGGACAUCAGGAGGUUAGUGCAAUGGCAUAAGCCAGCUUGACUGCGAGCGUGACGGCGCGAGCAGGUGCGAAAGCAGGUCAUAGUGAUCCGGUGGUUCUGAAUGGAAGGGCCAUCGCUCAACGGAUAAAAGGUACUCCGGGGAUAACAGGCUGAUACCGCCCAAGAGUUCAUAUCGACGGCGGUGUUUGGCACCUCGAUGUCGGCUCAUCACAUCCUGGGGCUGAAGUAGGUCCCAAGGGUAUGGCUGUUCGCCAUUUAAAGUGGUACGCGAGCUGGGUUUAGAACGUCGUGAGACAGUUCGGUCCCUAUCUGCCGUGGGCGCUGGAGAACUGAGGGGGGCUGCUCCUAGUACGAGAGGACCGGAGUGGACGCAUCACUGGUGUUCGGGUUGUCAUGCCAAUGGCACUGCCCGGUAGCUAAAUGCGGAAGAGAUAAGUGCUGAAAGCAUCUAAGCACGAAACUUGCCCCGAGAUGAGUUCUCCCUGAGACUUAGAGUCUCCUGAAGGAACGUUGAAGACGACGACGUUGAUAGGCCGGGUGUGUAAGCGCAGCGAUGCGUUGAGCUAACCGGUACUAAUGAACCGUGAGGCUUAACCUUACA